RNAcentral lists this ribosomal RNA (164 nucleotides) under Raphia farinifera. RNAcentral describes it as "5.8S ribosomal RNA". It matches the Rfam family "5.8S ribosomal RNA". From Rfam's summary of the family: 5.8S ribosomal RNA (5.8S rRNA) is a component of the large subunit of the eukaryotic ribosome. The record is from RNAcentral. Lineage: Eukaryota; Viridiplantae; Streptophyta; Magnoliopsida; Arecales; Arecaceae.
GGUACAACUCUCGGCAAUGAAUAUCUUGGCUCUUGCAUCGACGAAGAAUGUAGCAAAAUGUGAUAUGUGGUGUGAAUUGCAGAAUCUCAAGAACCAUCGAGUCUUUGAAUGCAAGUUGCACCCGAGGCCAUUCAGUCGAGGGCAUGCCUGCUUGGGCGUCAUGC